GGAAUCUUCCACAAUGGGCGAAAGCCUGAUGGAGCAACGCCGCGUGUGUGAUGAAGGGUUUCGGCUCGUAAAACACUGUUGUAAGAGAAGAAUGACAUUGAGAGUAACUGUUCAAUGAGUGACGGUAUCUUACCAGAAAGGAACGGCUAAAUACGUGCCAG
RNAcentral lists this ribosomal RNA (161 nucleotides) under uncultured bacterium. Its description in RNAcentral is "partial 16S ribosomal RNA". It matches the Rfam family "Bacterial small subunit ribosomal RNA", at positions 358 to 511 of the family's 1533-position model. The record is from RNAcentral.